Molecule: long non-coding RNA, 525 nt
Filed under: Phoenix dactylifera (date palm)
Lineage: Eukaryota; Viridiplantae; Streptophyta; Magnoliopsida; Arecales; Arecaceae
Description: long non-coding RNA (PDAC_LNC021737)
Source: RNAcentral
ACACCUAACUCUUUCGGAAUAACUUAUUAAAGUUUGCAUGCGACAUCCCAAUUCCUGACCCCAUGUAAUUAUUUGGCAACAGCUCAACUUCCAACUCCCCUCCACAAACACACGCACACUGACACAGAGAAAGAAAUGAGGAUCCGUAACAAACAAGGAAAUGAUUAGCCAGACCCCGAUCCACCACUCUCACCCCAUCAUCUAACCCUUUAAAGGGACAGCCAUGGCCCACCUCUUCUCCUCUUUCCUUUAACAAUGUGAGAGAAACAUCAAUAGCUUAUAUCGUGGGCCUUGCCUAACCUUAUAAUGGAGACAGUGUCAGGUAUAAGCUAGGUUCAAUGGUUGUCAAUCCAAGUUUAAUGCCAACUGCCACAUGCCCAAGUAGUUAACUAAGUCAUCAGAGGCUUUCUAUUGGGUAUGGAAAGUGGUGCAAGUGACCCUCCUUAAUUUACUCUUCAUCCUUGCUGAAGGACAUAUAUAUCCAUAUAGGACUUUUGAUGCUCUCAUGCCCAUCAAGGACCAAAA